UCGGGUACGGUCCGGGCUUAAAUUUCUUGGAACAGAAUGUCACAGAGGGUGAGAAUCCCGUCUGGAGUCUGCGACACGGCCUAUGUGAAACUCCUUCGACGAGUCGAGUUGUUUGGGAAUGCAGCUCUAAAUGGGUGGUAAAUUUCAUCUAAAGCUAAAUAUUGGCCAGAGACCGAUAGCGCACAAGUAGAGUGAUCGAAAGAUGAAAAGCACUUUGAAAAGAGAGUUAAACAGUACGUGAAAUUGUUGAAAGGGAAGCGCUGGCAACCAGACUUGCGCGUCGGGGUUCCCCCUGGCUUCUGCCUGGGCUACUCCCCGGCGCUCAGGCCAACAUCGGUUUUGGGGGUCGGUUAAAGGCCCCGGGAAUGUACCUACCCUUCGGGGUAGACUUAUAGCCCGGGGUGUCAUGCGGCCACCCGGGACCGAGGAACGCGCUUCGGCUCGGAUGUUGGCGUAAUGGUUGUCAGCGACCCGUCUUGAAACACGGACCAAGGAGUCUAACAUCUAUGCGAGUGUUAGGGUGUCAAACCCUUACGCGGAAUGAAAGUGAACGGAGGUAGGAAGCCGUAACACGCUGCACUAUCGACCGAUCCUGAAGUUUACGGAUGGAUUUGAGUAAGAGCAUAGCUGUUGGGACCCGAAAGAUGGUGAAC
This 653-nucleotide ribosomal RNA is filed under the name Cyphellophora sessilis. Its description in RNAcentral is "eukaryotic LSU rRNA". It matches the Rfam family "Eukaryotic large subunit ribosomal RNA", at positions 164 to 831 of the family's 3401-position model. Lineage: Eukaryota; Fungi; Ascomycota; Eurotiomycetes; Chaetothyriales; Cyphellophoraceae. The record is from RNAcentral.